Molecule: ribosomal RNA, 465 nt
Filed under: uncultured bacterium
Lineage: Bacteria
Description: partial 16S ribosomal RNA
Rfam family: Bacterial small subunit ribosomal RNA
Source: RNAcentral
GACGAACGCUGGCGGCGUGCUUAACACAUGCAAGUCGAACGGAAAGGCCCUGCUUGCAGGGUACUCGAGUGGCGAACGGGUGAGUAACACGUGGGUGAUCUGCCCUGCACUUCGGGAUAAGCCUGUGAAACUGGGUCUAAUACCGGAUAGGAGCCAUUUUGAGUGUGAUGGUUGGAAAGUUUUUUGGGUGUAGGAUGAGCUCGCGGCCUAUCAGCUUGUUGGUGGGGUAAUGGCCUACCAAGGCGGCGACGGGUAGCCGGCCUGAGAGGGUGGACGGCCACAUUGGGACUGAGAUACGGCCCAGACUCCUACGGGAGACAGCAGUGGGGAAUAUUGCACAAUGGGCGCAAGCCUGAUGCAGCGACGCCGCGUGGGGGAUGACGGCCUUCGGGUUGUAAACUCCUUUCGCUAGGGACGAAGCUUUUUGUGACGGUACCUAGAUAAGAAGCACCGGCUAACUACGUG